Molecule: long non-coding RNA, 280 nt
Filed under: Lathyrus oleraceus (garden pea)
Lineage: Eukaryota; Viridiplantae; Streptophyta; Magnoliopsida; Fabales; Fabaceae
Description: Pisum sativum (pea) long non-coding RNA (PSAT_LNC006745)
Source: RNAcentral
AAAAGUAGUGAACAUGAAUAUAGCAAAUUCGUUCGGAAAGAUUAGUUCUCCAUUACGGUUCUUUCAAGCGUAAGAAAAAUAAUUCGUGAAUAGUAAAAAACGUGCAUAGUGUUUUCGGCUGCUAGGUAUUAGGGGGAAACCAAGGCAAUUCGUUUACAACCCAACUGGGUCAAAUACAUAACUCAGGCCCAAAACUAACGAUCCAAAACUAAAAUAAAACUAAUACUGCAGCUUCAAACGAAAUUCUAGAAAAUAUGCGCUCCGAAUCUGACUUCGACUC